AAUGGGUUUACAAAAACAAAGAUUUUUGAAAGCGAAAAUUUUAUAAAGAAUGCGAAAAACUUGAUUUUCAAAAUUUAGAUCUUUAGAAGGUGGCAUUCCGAAUCUCCGACUCAAGUCUGUAAGUAUUCUGAAUUUUUCUGAAUAUUUUCCUGAAUUAUCUGUCUGUACUGAAACCUUACUAGGACACUCUAGAUAGGAUGAUACUGAAACAUAGGAAAAUCUGAUAAGAGAUUGAAACUGUAGUUAGACUUCG
This 253-nucleotide long non-coding RNA is filed under the name Gossypium barbadense (sea-island cotton). RNAcentral describes it as "long non-coding RNA (GBAR_LNC023466)". The record is from RNAcentral. Lineage: Eukaryota; Viridiplantae; Streptophyta; Magnoliopsida; Malvales; Malvaceae.